This 512-nucleotide ribosomal RNA is filed under the name uncultured bacterium. Its description in RNAcentral is "bacterial SSU rRNA". It matches the Rfam family "Bacterial small subunit ribosomal RNA", at positions 17 to 518 of the family's 1533-position model. The record is from RNAcentral.
UUCUGGCUCAGGAUGAACGCUAGCUACAGGCUUAACACAUGCAAGUCGAGGGGCAGCAUGAAGUUUGCUUGCAAACUUGAUGGCGACCGGCGCACGGGUGAGUAACGCGUAUCCAACCUUCCCUAUAGUAGGGGAUAGCCCGUAGAAAUGCGGAUUAAUACCCUAUGUUGUAUUUUGAGGACAUCUGAUGAAUACCAAAGGUUCACCGCUAUAGGAUGGGGGAUGCGUCUGAUUAGGUAGUCGGCGGGGUAACGGCCCACCGAGCCAACGAUCAGUAGGGGUUCUGAGAGGAAGGUCCCCCACAUUGGAACUGAGACACGGUCCAAACUCCUACGGGAGGCAGCAGUGAGGAAUAUUGGUCAAUGGGCGAGAGCCUGAACCAGCCAAGUAGCGUGCAGGAUGACGGCCCUAUGGGUUGUAAACUGCCUUUAUGCGGGGAUAAAGUGAGGGACGUGUCCCUUAUUGUAGGUACCGCAUGAAUAAGGACCGGCUAAUUCCGUGCCAGCAGCCGC